Molecule: ribosomal RNA, 491 nt
Filed under: uncultured bacterium
Lineage: Bacteria
Description: partial 16S ribosomal RNA
Rfam family: Bacterial small subunit ribosomal RNA
Source: RNAcentral
AGUGAACGCUGGCGGUAGGCCUAACACAUGCAAGUCGAACGGCAGCACAGUAAGAGCUUGCUCUUACGGGUGGCGAGUGGCGGACGGGUGAGGAAUACAUCGGAAUCUACUUUUUCGUGGGGGAUAACGUAGGGAAACUUACGCUAAUACCGCAUACGACCUACGGGUGAAAGCAGGGGAUCUUCGGACCUUGCGCGAUUGAAUGAGCCGAUGUCGAAUUAGCUAGUUGGCGGGGUAAAGGCCCACCAAGGCGACGAUCCGUAGCUGGUCUGAGAGGAUGAUCAGCCACACUGGAACUGAGACACGGUCCAGACUCCUACGGGAGGCAGCAGUGGGGAAUAUUGGACAAUGGGCGCAAGCCUGAUCCAGCCAUACCGCGUGGGUGAAGAAGGCCUUCGGGUUGUAAAGCCCUUUUGUUGGGAAAGAAAAGCAGCAGGUUAAUACCCCGCUGUUCUGACGGUACCCAAAGAAUAAGCACCGGCUAACUUCGU